CCACCAGCUCUCUCUUGGCAC
Molecule: microRNA, 21 nt
Filed under: Oreochromis niloticus (Nile tilapia)
Lineage: Eukaryota; Metazoa; Chordata; Actinopteri; Cichliformes; Cichlidae
Description: oni-miR-10883
Source: miRBase by way of RNAcentral